AAUCCAUGAAUUGGACAUUUUUGAAUUAAAUCUUUAAAUUGUUCCCAAGUUUCAGAUAAUGUUCCAUCCUCUGAAUGUCGAAGAGAUGUGAUGUCAUUUCUAAGCUU
Non-coding RNA from Gossypium raimondii (Peruvian cotton), 107 nucleotides. NCBI's taxonomy places the organism in Eukaryota, Viridiplantae, Streptophyta, Magnoliopsida, Malvales, Malvaceae. The record is from Rfam.